RNAcentral lists this ribosomal RNA (1358 nucleotides) under uncultured bacterium. Its description in RNAcentral is "bacterial SSU rRNA". It matches the Rfam family "Bacterial small subunit ribosomal RNA", at positions 28 to 1381 of the family's 1533-position model. The record is from RNAcentral.
GAUGAACGCUAGCUACAGGCUUAACACAUGCAAGUCGAGGGGCAGCAUGGUCUUAGCUUGCUAAGGCCGAUGGCGACCGGCGCACGGGUGAGUAACACGUAUCCAACCUGCCGUCUACUCUUGGACAGCCUUCUGAAAGGAAGAUUAAUACAAGAUGGCAUCAUGAGUCCGCAUGUUCACAUGAUUAAAGGUAUUCCGGUAGACGAUGGGGAUGCGUUCCAUUAGAUAGUAGGCGGGGUAACGGCCCACCUAGUCUUCGAUGGAUAGGGGUUCUGAGAGGAAGGUCCCCCACAUUGGAACUGAGACACGGUCCAAACUCCUACGGGAGGCAGCAGUGAGGAAUAUUGGUCAAUGGGCGAGAGCCUGAACCAGCCAAGUAGCGUGAAGGAUGACUGCCCUAUGGGUUGUAAACUUCUUUUAUAAAGGAAUAAAGUCGGGUAUGCAUACCCGUUUGCGUGUACUUUAUGAAUAAGGAUCGGCUAACUCCGUGCCAGCAGCCGCGGUAAUACGGAGGAUCCGAGCGUUAUCCGGAUUUAUUGGGUUUAAAGGGAGCGUAGAUGGAUGUUUAAGUCAGUUGUGAAAGUUUGCGGCUCAACCGUAAAAUUGCAGUUGAUACUGGAUAUCUUGAGUGCAGUUGAGGCAGGCGGAAUUCGUGGUGUAGCGGUGAAAUGCUUAGAUAUCACGAAGAACUCCGAUUGCGAAGGCAGCCUGCUAAGCUGCAACUGACAUUGAGGCUCGAAAGUGUGGGUAUCAAACAGGAUUAGAUACCCUGGUAGUCCACACGGUAAACGAUGAAUACUCGCUGUUUGCGAUAUACAGCAAGCGGCCAAGCGAAAGCGUUAAGUAUUCCACCUGGGGAGUACGCCGGCAACGGUGAAACUCAAAGGAAUUGACGGGGGCCCGCACAAGCGGAGGAACAUGUGGUUUAAUUCGAUGAUACGCGAGGAACCUUACCCGGGCUUAAAUUGCAGAUGAAUUACGGUGAAAGCCGUAAGCCGCAAGGCAUCUGUGAAGGUGCUGCAUGGUUGUCGUCAGCUCGUGCCGUGAGGUGUCGGCUUAAGUGCCAUAACGAGCGCAACCCUUGUUGUCAGUUACUAACAGGUUCCGCUGAGGACUCUGACAAGACUGCCAUCGUAAGAUGUGAGGAAGGUGGGGAUGACGUCAAAUCAGCACGGCCCUUACGUCCGGGGCUACACACGUGUUACAAUGGGGGGUACAGAGGGCCGCUACCACGCGAGUGGAUGCCAAUCCCAAAAACCUCUCUCAGUUCGGACUGGAGUCUGCAACCCGACUCCACGAAGCUGGAUUCGCUAGUAAUCGCGCAUCAGCCACGGCGCGGUGAAUACGUUCCCGGGCCU